This 492-nucleotide ribosomal RNA is filed under the name uncultured bacterium. Its description in RNAcentral is "partial 16S ribosomal RNA". It matches the Rfam family "Bacterial small subunit ribosomal RNA", at positions 29 to 507 of the family's 1533-position model. The record is from RNAcentral.
AGUGAACGCUGGCGGUAGGCCUAACACAUGCAAGUCGAACGGCAGCACAGUAAGAGCUUGCUCUUACGGGUGGCGAGUGGCGGACGGGUGAGGAAUACAUCGGAAUCUACUUUUUCGUGGGGGAUAACGUAGGGAAACUUACGCUAAUACCGCAUACGCCCCACGGGUGAAAGCAGAGGAUCUUCGGACCUUGCGCGAUUGACUGAGCCGAUGUCGGAUUAGCUAGUUGGCGGGGUAAAGGCCCACCAAGGCGACGAUCCGUAGCUGGUCUGAGAGGAUGAUCAGCCACACGGGAACUGAGACACGGUCCAGACUCCUGCAGGAGGCAGCAGUGGGGAAUAUUGGACAAUGGGGGAAAGCCUGAUCCAGCCAUACCGCGUGAGUGAAGAAGGCCUUCGGGUUGUAAAGCCCUUUUGUUGGGAAAGAAAAGCAGCAGGUUAAUACCCCGCUGUUCUGACGGUACCCAAAGAAUAAGCACCGGCUAACUUCGUG